AGCGCCGGUCGUCUCGCUCGCACUGAUAAUCGGAAACUGAUACCGCUUGAUAUGUACGUCAGGCAGCGCGCAGCAUCUUCCCCACGCAAGCACGAAGAUGGAGGGUAUUUUGGUGUUUGAUCAAACGAACGAUUUAAUCUACCACAAUUUUAACGAGGCGAUGCGGGAAAAAAUGUCCAAGCAGGCGUACGAUUUGGGUUUGCUCGACGAGGAGUCUGCGUGUCCCACCCAGGAGCUUAAUUCGAAUGUCCUGAUACAAAUCUUCAGCCCGCUGCUGGCCUCGCAACGCAUCAUGAUGUGCCAGUUCGACAACGCGUACACCUCCAUCCAGAUGGACAACAACCUGAACGUCGUGUUCGACGAGUUUUUAGGGUACAUUUUCCUGGAAAUCAGCACGAAGGAGGUCGACUUGGUGAAGCGAGAACUGGGCGCAUUCAUUGCAUUCACCAAAUACAUCUGCGGACCGAACAUUUUCUCAAUCAAAAGCGACACAAGCAGGGUGGAACAUCUUACCGAGCUGAUUCUUACCUACCGCGAGCUGUACACCGUCAACCAGGGCGUACUGAUGGAAGCAAUCGAACAGCUGCUGGUGAAUGUGGAUGUAAAGAAUGCGGUGGUCACCGCCCUCCAGGCAGCUACCGAUCGGCUCAAGCAAGACCCCCACUCGCAACGGUCCCAUUCGCUGCUGUUUGUUGGCAGCAAGUUCCUCGCACGGUACAGUACCCGCCAAGCGCAGGAGCUAGCCGCCGUCGACAUGCUCUUCCUGAAUCUGCUCUGCCAGAUGCACACCCGGCGCAGCGAGCGCCAACGUAUCGUGUCGCAGAUAGUAUUCCUGCAGGGAAACGUGCACCAAGCGUACGCAGGUUGCGUCCCGCACAUUGUCCACGUGGUGCACCUGUUCGAACGCGUGUCGCUCGUCCUGGUAAUCGAGCACGCCCAUACCGCUCUCGCAAGCCACCUGUACGACGUCUACUUCGCCCUACACAAGCUGCAAAACCUGCAGAUGCAGUUCGAUCUGGACAAUUUGCGCGGUGCGUUCGAUGCGCUCGACACGUACACGAAACACACGCAGGACGCACUGAGGAAGGUAAAGUCGAACAAUGCCGAGGUGGACGAAUGCGUCCGUACGUUCGGCGCCAGGUGGGACACGCUGCGCAAGAAGUACACCGACUACUUUAAAACCUCCGACAAUGCGCUGAUCGUGAAGAUUGAAUCGAACAUGCCGCUGUUUGUGGAAUCGGUCAAGGAGCUGUUCCGGUUGCUGUGCGCUAGCUGCGCGACGCUCGAGCACGGGCUGCAGCGUGUGACGGAUAUAGCGGACGUGGCGGAGGGUAGCCUGAGCGAGGUGUUCGUUUUUCUGCACGCGAAAUCGCAGAAAAACUUUACCAUGGGAUCGUACAUGGAAGAGUUCCCGGGUAUGGUGCACUUUAUGCACAUAGAUCGCUACAAUGGAAGAAUCGUUGCUCCCUCACUGAACGACCACGAUCCGUCGGAUAUUCUCAAAGAUAGGAUCUGGUCAAUGGUCGACUUUUCGCGCAACUAUCUCGACAAGGGUUACAUGUCAAUGAUCUGGAAAGAUGUGACGUUCAGCUACGCGUACUUCCUCUGGUUCGAGGACGAGCACGGCGCGACCUUGAAGCCGAACGAACCGCCAAACCAUGGUGCGGUGCUGCCCGCCACCAAACCGUCCCUGAUUGCCGGCAUCCUGGCGGGAGACUACUAUCAGCGGCUGAUCGAGACUUGCUUCCCAAGAACACCGUCCGGCAAGGUUCGGUGCUACGAACUGUUUCUCGUCCAUCUCGGGCUUGUGACUUCGACGAUCGUGCUGGAACACUGUCGCCGGCUGGCCGUCACCAUUACGGAUCUGACGGGAUGUAUCGGAAAUCCGAUCGAUCUGCUGUAAGGCACGACUCUUCGCGUUGUGUGGUGGUAUGUUUGUGUGUAACAACGGAACUUUCGCUGCAAGGUUGGAGGGGGUGGGCGUCGAGUGUGUUGUUUAUCAGCUGUGAUCUGUGCCGUGUGAAACUUUUUCGGUGUGCUGAAACGGAUUCAAAAAUCUGUUUGCUCUACAAAGUCGAUGAGUGCAUCUUAUCAGUUCUGCAGCGUCAUGGUGAACGUUGGGAGGUGUUGGCACGGAAGACGGAGCGGGAAAGGGUUCACGACAACUAUGCGGUGAUAAGGAUAUCAACGGAUUGUGCAUUUACAGUUAGCGGGUGAGCCCACGCUGUACCUCGUAGGAGAACCUGGCCAUGGGUAUUGGAGAAUGCAUAUCGUAUGCCGGGAUCGUGCUUGACCUUGAACACUGACUCUGCUCGAUCACGGGUUCCAAAUUGGUCAUUACGUUACCGGCGGCUUGCCAGCAAUCAGCAUCGGCUAUUCUUUUUCCGUUCAGUUCUUCCUACCGUGCUUCUGUGUAUAAAGUGCCUUCCAUUAACAUCUCCCGACAACAAGUUGGAGUUGCUUCUAGCACGGAUUAUGAUGGUGCUGUUGCUGAAGAGAAAUGUUGUGUUGCCUGGUUGCACUGGGCAGGAUGGUUCACACAGUGUAGUCGAUCUCCUGUUGGUGUCGAUUGUUCCCUUCGAGCCGGAGGCCCAUCCUGGCCGCUCAGUGCGAUAGUGUUAGCUGCUAGAAAUACAAGAUGUAAAUAUAAAAUGGUUACUUUACAUGUUAAUACAGAAAAGGGUACUAUAUAGGUUAUAGAA
Anopheles stephensi (Asian malaria mosquito) is the source of this 2702-nucleotide RNA transcript. It is a transcript of the gene named Hermansky-Pudlak syndrome 1 protein homolog, with no coding region annotated. The transcript is spliced from 12 exons. The record is from RefSeq and is a predicted model, not a curated record. Lineage: Eukaryota; Metazoa; Arthropoda; Insecta; Diptera; Culicidae.